CCUACGGGAGGCAGCAGUGGGGAAUAUUGCACAAUGGGGGAAACCCUGAUGCAGCGACGCCGCGUGAGUGAAGAAGUAAUUCGUUAUGUAAAGCUCUAUCAGCAGGGAAGAAAAUGACGGUACCUGAGUAAGAAGCCCCGGCUAACUACGUGCCAGCAGCCGCGGUAAUACGGAGGGGGCAAGCGUUAUCCGGAUUUACUGGGUGGAAAGGGAGCGUAGACGGCAGUGAAAGUCUGGAGUGAAAGGCGGGGGCUCAACCCCCGGACUGCUCUGGAAACUGUACGGCUGGAGUGCAGGAGAGGUAAGUGGAAUUCCUGGUGUAGCGGUGAAAUGCGUAGAUAUUAGGAGGAACACCAGUGGCGAAGGCGGCUUACUGGACUGUAACUGACGUUGAGGCUCGAAAGCGUGGGGAGCAAACAGGAUUAGAUACCCGUGUAGUC
RNAcentral lists this ribosomal RNA (440 nucleotides) under uncultured bacterium. RNAcentral's name for it is "partial 16S ribosomal RNA". It matches the Rfam family "Bacterial small subunit ribosomal RNA", at positions 338 to 795 of the family's 1533-position model. The record is from RNAcentral.